This 216-nucleotide ribosomal RNA is filed under the name Glomeromycotina sp. RNAcentral's name for it is "partial small subunit ribosomal RNA". The stretch from base 40 to 216 matches the Rfam family "Eukaryotic small subunit ribosomal RNA", at positions 686 to 864 of the family's 1831-position model. Lineage: Eukaryota; Fungi; Glomeromycota. The record is from RNAcentral.
GGGUCAGUAGGUUGGUCUUGCCACCGGUACGUACUGGUCUCACUGAUUCCUCCUUCCUGAAGAACCGUAAUGCCAUUAAUUUGGUGUUGCGGGGAAACAGGACUGUUACUUUGAAGAAAUUAGAGUGUUUAAAGCAAGCUAACGCUUGAAUACAUUAGCAUGGAAUAAUGAAAUAGGACGAUCGAUCCUAUUUUGUUGGUUUCUAGGAUUGACGUA